RNAcentral lists this ribosomal RNA (1332 nucleotides) under uncultured organism. RNAcentral describes it as "16S ribosomal RNA". It matches the Rfam family "Bacterial small subunit ribosomal RNA", at positions 39 to 1408 of the family's 1533-position model. The record is from RNAcentral.
GCGGCGCGCUUAUGCAUGCAAGUCGAGCGAUGAGGCUUCUUCGGAGGGCACAUCAGCGGCAGACGGGUGAGUAACACGUGGGUGACCUGCCCUUGAGACGGGGAUAACGGAUGGAAACAUGCGCUAAUACCCGAUAGGGUCCCAGGGUCAAAGCUGGGAUGAAAGCUUUGGUGCUCAAGGAGGGGCUCGCGGCCCAUCAGCUAGUUGGUGAGGUAACGGCUCACCAAGGCGAAGACGGGUAGGGGGUGUGAGAGCACGGCCCCCCACAAUGGGACUGAGACACGGCCCAUACUCCUACGGGAGGCAGCAGCAGGGAAUAUUGCACAAUGGACGGAAGUCUGAUGCAGCGACGCCGCGUGGAUGAUGAAGGCCUUCGGGUUGUAAAAUCCUUUACGGGGUGACGAGGAAGGACGGUAGCCCCGGAACAAGCGUCGGCUAACUACGUGCCAGCAGCCGCGGUAAGACGUAGGACGCAAGCGUUAUCCGGAUUUACUGGGCGUAAAGCGUCUGUAGGCGGAUGAGUAAGUUGGGCGUGAAAGCUCCGGGCUCAACCCGGAGAGGCCGUUCAAUACUGCUGAUCUAGAGGAGGCCAGAGGGGAGUGGAAUUCCUGGAGUAGCGGUAAAAUGCGCAGAUAUCAGGAAGAACACCAGUGGCGAAGGCGGCUCCCUAGGGCCCACCUGACGCUGAGAGACGACAGCUAGGGGAGCGAACAGGAUUAGAGACCCUGGUAGUCCUAGCCGUAAACGAUGGAUGCUAGGUGUAGGGCCGUAGAGGCUCUGUGCCGGAGCGAACGCGAUAAGCAUCCCGCCUGGGGAGUACGGCCGCAAGGCUAAAACUCAAACGAAUUGACGGGGGACCCGCACAAGCAGCGGAGCGUGUGGUUUAAUUCGAUGCUACACGAAGAACCUUACCUGGGUUUGACAUGGGCGUGGUAGUGAAGCGAAAGCGGAGCGACCCUUCGGGGAGCGUCCACAGGUGCUGCAUGGCUGUCGUCAGCUCGUGCCGUGAGGUGUCGGGUUAAGUCCCGUAACGAGCGCAACCCUUGCCCUUAGUUACAAGUGUCUAAGGGGACUGCCGGCGGGAAGCCGGAGGAAGGUGGGGAUGACGUCAAGUCAGCAUGGCCCUUAUAUCCAGGGCUACACACACGCUACAAUGGCCGGUACAGAGGGCAGCGAAGCCGCGAGGUGGAGCGAAUCCCAGAAAGCCGGUCGUAGUUCGGAUUGCAGGCUGCAACCCGCCUGCAUGAAGCUGGAGUUGCUAGUAACCGCGCGUCAGCCAUCCUGCGCUGAUACGUUCCCGGGUCUUGUACACACCGCCCGUCACGUCAUGGG